Molecule: ribosomal RNA, 490 nt
Filed under: uncultured bacterium
Lineage: Bacteria
Description: partial 16S ribosomal RNA
Rfam family: Bacterial small subunit ribosomal RNA
Source: RNAcentral
GAUGAACGCUAGCUACAGGCUUAACACAUGCAAGUCGAGGGGCAGCAUGGUCUUAGCUUGCUAAGGCCGAUGGCGACCGGCGCACGGGUGAGUAACACGUAUCCAACCUGCCGUCUACUCUUGGACAGCCUUCUGAAAGGAAGAUUAAUACAAGAUGGCAUCAUGAGUCCGCAUGUUCACAUGAUUAAAGGUAUUCCGGUAGACGAUGGGGAUGCGUUCCAUUAGAUAGUAGGCGGGGUAACGGCCCACCUAGUCUUCGAUGGAUAGGGGUUCUGAGAGGAAGGGCCCCCACAUUGGAACUGAGACACGGUCCAAACUCCUACGGGAGGCAGCAGUGAGGAAUAUUGGUCAAUGGGCGCAGGCCUGAACCAGCCAAGUAGCGUGAAGGAUGACUGCCCUAUGGGUUGUAAACUUCUUUUAUAAAGGAAUAAAGUCGGGUAUGUAUACCCGUUUGCAUGUACUUUAUGAAUAAGGAUCGGCUAACUCCGUG